This 440-nucleotide ribosomal RNA is filed under the name uncultured bacterium. Its description in RNAcentral is "partial 16S ribosomal RNA". It matches the Rfam family "Bacterial small subunit ribosomal RNA", at positions 338 to 795 of the family's 1533-position model. The record is from RNAcentral.
CCUACGGGUGGCAGCAGUGGGGGAUAUUGCACAAUGGGGGAAACCCUGAUGCAGCGACGCCGCGUGGGUGAAGAAGCGCCUCGGCGCGUAAAGCCCUGUCAGCAGGGAAGAAAAUGACGGUACCUGAAGAAGAAGCCCCGGCUAAUUACGUGCCAGCAGCCGCGGUAAUACGUAGGGGGCAAGCGUUAUCCGGAGUUACUGGGUGUAAAGGGGGCGCAGACGGCGUUGCAAGCCAGGAGUGAAAGCCCGGGGCCCAACCCCGGGACUGCUCUUGAAACUGCGUGGCGAGAGUGCAGGAGGGGCAGGCGGAAUUCCUGGUGUAGCGGUGAAAUGCGUAGAUAUCAGGAGGAACACCGGUGGCGAAGGCGGCCUGCUGGACUGCAACUGACGUUGAGGCCCGAAAGCGUGGGGAGCAAACAGGAUUAGAUACCCGAGUAGUC